RNAcentral lists this ribosomal RNA (253 nucleotides) under uncultured bacterium. RNAcentral's name for it is "partial 16S ribosomal RNA". It matches the Rfam family "Bacterial small subunit ribosomal RNA", at positions 524 to 776 of the family's 1533-position model. The record is from RNAcentral.
UACGUAGGGGGCUAGCGUUGUCCGGAAUCAUUGGGCGUAAAGCGCGUGUAGGCGGUCCGGUAAGUCCGCUGUGAAAGUCGGGGGCUCAACCCUCGGAUGCCGGUGGAUACUGUCGGGCUUGAGUCCGGAAGAGGCGAGUGGAAUUCCUGGUGUAGCGGUGAAAUGCGCAGAUAUCGGGAGGAACACCAAUUGCGAAGGCAGCUUGCUGGGACGGUACUGACGCUGAGGCGCGAAAGCGUGGGGAGCAAACAGG